Panicum virgatum (switchgrass) is the source of this 5518-nucleotide RNA transcript. RefSeq lists it as uncharacterized. The transcript is spliced from 4 exons. The record is from RefSeq and is a predicted model, not a curated record. NCBI's taxonomy places the organism in Eukaryota, Viridiplantae, Streptophyta, Magnoliopsida, Poales, Poaceae.
GGCGACGUACAUCUAGGUCUGAUCGCGCUCGCCAAGUGUAGGUCAGAGCAGCAAAUGCAAGGAUGGAGGUGUGUGGCAGCUUCGGCGGACUCAGGCGCGGUUGCUGGCCGGACACAUCGAUAGCGCCAUGACCGCCCAGCGCGAUGGGACGGCGGCCGGGCAGGUGGGACAGCGUAUGGCUAUGGCAUUAGGAGGAAGGUAAUCGUGGGGACCGAAUCCAACACCGUUUGAGGAAGAAUGAAAUCAAGCUAUGGAAAGGGAGAAGAAGCGCACCUGUUGCUUCGCUCUUUCUGUGCCGCUGUUGCAGAUCGAUUUAAUCGGAGAGAAAGGGGGGUUGCGAGACUUGUAUAUUUAUACCCGGGGGAGACGAACGGUCGGGGAUGCGAGGCGGUGCCAGCUGCAGGGGGCACCGCGGCGGUGCUGUUGGACCGUGGGCUCUUUUUGUGGCGCUCGGCCCCAUCGACGGUGCGCGUCGCCGCCUACUUCGGCCAAUCGGUGCACCCCAUAUAUCCGCCUCCCUCCCUGCACGCCUCUGCGCUUCCCUCCCCAGGCGCCUCUGCUCCUCUCUCCCGGGCCGCCGCCCGUGCCCCCAGCGUGCCUCCCCCACCGCCCGCCUCUGCGCCUCCAGGGCCGACCGCAGGAGCCAAGGAAGGAAGGAAGGAAGUAGAUAGUAGCAGCAGCGGGCCGGGAGAUCAGAGGCCCCACCUCAUGGCGGGAGGCAUGCUCCUGACCGCGCCGCCGGCGCUCGCGGCGUCCGGGAGCCCGUACGAGGCGCUGCGGGUGGGACGCGCCGGCACGCAGGUGGAGAUCAAGGGCGCGUACCGCGCCAUGGCCAAGCGCUUGGAGUUGAGUGCCGGCCUGCUCUCCACGCCGGGGUGCAGGCCGACGUCUGGGAACGGGACGACAGCGAGCUCGACAACCUGGGCGCUCUCGGUGCUGCGGCACGCGUGUUGCUGCGGACGACGGGUGUGCCGGAGGUGCGGGCGUUGGGCAACCUUCCUGAUGCUGCUCCCAUGCUCCGAGGUAAUAUUUGUUUUGGAUCCCCUCCCAGUACAACAACUUUCCCCCCAAACGAUCAAUAGGAAUUCGGAAUCUAGAGUGAGCAGUACGUCCAUUUGGAAGUAGCAAAGAUGCAACCCCUGAUGAAGCCACUGUGAGUACAAUUUUUCUUUUUGCUCUUAAAUAUGUAAUAAUGGUAUUCCAUAAAAAUGUUUUUCCAGUUCCACCAUGUCCAAUAAUAAAGAAAAUAUUUGGCUCUUUAUUUAGAACAGAGUUGACUAUACUAUGGAAUGCAUUUCUUUGAUCAUUGUUUAGUUGGUAGUAGAGUUUAUUUGAUUCUUCUUCUAAUUUGCAGUAGUCAUAGUUAAGUUCUUCUUCAAUCAAUUUUUUAUUUUCAUCGAUUCUGUACUGAGUUGUCUUGUGUGGUAGAUUAUAGGUGUACAUGCUAAUCCUAUUCUUGGCAAAUAUUUCUUCAAGCUGUUCUAGUAAUUUGUCUUGUACCUCUUCAUCUGUUGGUGUAUAUAUUACUGGUUGAUAUUUGUGUACUAAGUAUCGCUCAAUGUCAUCACUCAUUUUUCUCCAAUUUUCAUUAUAAAAUUUUCGCUCAUCUUGUAGAUUGCAGAAUACAAGCAUGGUAAAGAACAAAUAUCGUAAUUGUGAUGCUGUUGCCCAAUUUGCUGCUUCACUAAAUGUAUCAUGCCAUUCCUUGUCAACUUUUAGUAACCCCCUUGCUGCGCAUGCUUCCUUGAAUGUUUCAUACAUUGUUCCAUUGUAUUUUUUUAAGUCAUCAUAGUUUUUUGCUCCUUUAACUAUCAUAAGUAGCAUCCGUAAAUAGAAGCGUUCUCCUUCUAUUGGAUUUACAUAGUACAAUCGACCAAUCUUAAAUUUUUGUUGUCUCUUAGUCCAUUUCCUAUUUUUUGCAUCCCAGGUCCACUCUUGGGGGAAUUCGCAGUAUGUUAAUUUUCUUGCAUCUUCAUAGUUUUUAUUUGCUUCAAACCACUCUGUCAAUUUUGUUUUAUGUAAUUUUGGAUCUGUAGCAAUUGAUUUCAGUUUAGUUGCUUUACGUAUUGAUACUAUAUUUUGUAAUGGUAAAUGCACAGGCAACCGUUCGACUGGUGGCCAAUGGUAAUGUAUGUCGUAUCCUAAAAGUCUCCAUAGUGCAUCUUGCUCACAUAUGUAUCGACAAUCUAGGUAUUCCUUAAUCUCAUCAAUGUCUUUUAACCUUUUUGUGAACCUUCUUGCUCUCUAUUGCAAAUUUGUUCAAAGAUCACGGUUGCUUGAUCUGCCUUUUUGUUAUCAUAUUUGCAAAGAUAUUUUAAUAAUUUGCUCUUGUUCACAUAUUCUACAUUUAUAUGAGCUUGAUAUUUUUUAAGUAGUUUCAAAUUAUAUGGAACCACCCAUCUGUUAUCUAAGUUGUGGUUUCCUCUUCUAAUAUAAAUCUUACUGUCGCGUCUGCGAUAUAGUGUAAACCCAUCAUCUGUAAAUGUUGUUUCAUGUCUGAAAUCUUUAGGAUAAUAUUUUGAGCAUUUUCCUUUUUUCAUGCAAGGAGAACUUUCAUUUUUGUCACCACAGGGUCCAUGCAUCAUAUGUUCAGAUACAAGGACAUAUCCUAAAGGAUCUUUUUCUGGAUCAGGAAUCUCAGCUGAUAUCCAUGAAUCAAUUAUUUCUGUAUUGAUAUUUAUUUUUUUAUCUAUCCACACUAAUAUAUGCACAUGUGGCAAUCCUCUUUUUUGAAAUUCUAUUGAAUAUAAGAUAGCAAGUACAGGACCGAACAGUUUACCAGACCAGAUAUCUUGUAUAAAUUGAUUUAGUUUCAUAUGGAACACUCUGACUAUAACAUCAGGUCUAUCACUUGGUUGUUCACCAGGUUUUAAAGCACGAAUUAUUUCUUCCCAUCUAGGGUUAAAUGUGAACGUUAUAAAAAGAUCUGGAGGUCCAUAUACUCGACAAAUAGCUAUUCCAUCAUGGUAGUUUUGUAUGACAACGUUUUGAUCCUGUAUGGCUUGAUGGUAAUAAUAUUUUCUUACCAAUUUGAUUGCUAUCAGUGAAUCCUUUUUCUAUUGCAUCAAAGACACCUUGCAAAUAUUCAGCCCGUAGUUUAUCUUGGUUUCUAGCUAUGUAUGCCAAUCUAUCUUCAUCUUCCAUUGCACGUGCAUAUACUAUUGCUUGUUUUGAUAGCCUUCCGUAGCUCAGAAAUGGAUUUGGUUGACCUGGUCUGUAAUGCAUGUGAUACUUGUAAUAUUCAUGCAUUGUAACAUUUUUCCUCUUCUUAUUGUUAGUUGCAUUAUUUUGAUUCUCAUAAUAUGGUAUACCAAGUUGGAAUCCUCUUUCACCAUAAGGGAAUAGUAGUGGAUAUUGCAAUGCCAUAUAUGCUGGAUGGAAAAUAGUUAUACACUGGAGGCCUCUUUGUUUUGUACUAACUAUAAUAUCUCUUUUAUAUUUCUCAAGACUUAGGUCACCGACUACUAGCAUUGCUAGUUCUUCUAUGUGUGGCUUUUGAUAUUGUACUGCGUCACCUUUUCCUGCUCCUAGUAUGCGUAUGCUUAUAUCAAUUCCUUUAUUUUUGUCAAGUAAAUCACGUGCAUGUCGAAAUAUUUUUACCAAAGGAUUGCAUUUGUCAAGCAUAUCUUUUAGGUGUUCGACUAUAAAUGGAUUAAUAUCUGAUUCAUUUGAUUGUUCUUUAUUUAGCGCCUUAAUUCUAUUUUCAAUUCCAUUCUUUGUGAAAAAAACAUAUAAUUCAGCAUAUUCUGGUCUAUGGCCUUGCUCUGGAAGCAAAGAUCCAAUGCGAUGAUGUAUUUGUCCGUUUAUGCAAAAUAUGUAUGGACCCUCACCUUUGUUAAUAUCUUUUAUUAUAUUGGCACCCAUUGAGGUAAAUGCAAAUAGACUGUUGUAUUGCCUUAUUUUUUGAAAGAAAUGCCUUGAUAUUGGAUUGUUUUUAUUAUUGACUAAUUGUGAAAGUAGCUCUGGUGGAUUUUUGUAUGGUGGUAUUUUUAUCUUUCCAUUUUUGCAACAGUUUGUAUACACAAUUUGUCUAUUUCGCUGGCUUUCUCGCUCGUUAUGUUCGUUGUACCAAAACAUUGCAUUGCAAUGUUUGCAUCUAUAGAUAGGUUUGCCUAAAUAUGACCUUUCAUUAUAUGUUUGUUUCAAUUGCUCAAUAUAUUCAGUUGAGAAAGAUACCAUACCUCGACAACUAUUCAGAUACGAAUGGUGUGUGUCUGGUGCAGGUAUUAUUACCCUUUUAUUCUUUUCAGUUGCUUCAUCACUGGUCUCAUCAUUUCUUUUCCUUUUCUUUUUCUGGAGCACUGAAAUUCUUUCUUGUCUAAAUUUUUUAUAUUUUGGCUCAAUAUUUGUUUGAUAUUUCCUUUUUGUUCGUGCCAUUUAUGUGCUGUAUAUAUGCCUUGAAAUUUUUCUGUAAAUAUUGUCGCUUAUAUAUAUGGAGGCUUACAUAUAUAUCAGUUUUAUAUAUCUGAUUAUUGGUUAGCUUAUUUUCGCAGGCUAUUUUUUGGGCAACAAAUAGUACAUCAAGUCGUUAGUAUAGUCCUUGAAAAAAGAAAAAUAGAAGUGGAGUUGAUCUAUGUAGUAGAAGAAAGAUUCAUUGCACAGUACAAUCGAAAUAGCAACAUUAAAAUGUGGUUGAUGAGAAAAACUGCAGCUAGCGUGAGUAAUUGGUGAAGUAUUGAGGCAGAUCAAUACAGGGUAAGCUAUUAUUUUUUUCCCUACUUAGAGUGUGGAAUGUAUAUUUCUAAUUCUAUCGAAUAGGUUUGUGAAGGAUAGAUAGCUUAACGCUAUUAAAUUUCAUGAACUCUGGUCUGGGUUAUGGCAUGAAUGUAGUUGGACUUGCAAUUGAAGGUCCCUGUGAUUCCUUUGUGAAAUAAUUGUUGGCACAUUUCUAUGUUUACUCCUUACUUUUCUUGUAUCUUUAUGCCGUAAUAAAUUAUUUGUGUCAUUUGUUCAAUUAGGUUGGUGAUCAGUCACAGCGACAUCAAAACGCACCAUCCUUAGCGAUCUAAAUACGGAUUGCCAGAUGAGGUUUCAUUGGCACUGACCAGUAUUGCUUAUGAGGCACUUCAUGGUGAUAUUUGACAGUAUCAGCGUGAGAGGACACUAAAUGGAUUUCGUCAAGGGAAAUUUAUUGUUUUAGUAGCAACUGAUGUUGUUGGCCAUUGUCUGCAUAUACCAAAUGUUGAUUUUGUGGGUUUGCAAUCUAAUUAUUGAGAAUCUUCAAAUUAAGGGAACAGAUCAGCUUACCUGUCGAUUUGUUGCUUUGACUUUCUUCAGUGGCGUUGAGUUCCUGAUUUUGGGUUAGUGCACGAAGUGGAGAGAAGGAAUAGUAGUAGAAUGGAGGAGUUGUUGAAGACAAUAGUAGAAGAUGUACUGAUGCAGCGUGUACAUAUUAUAUAUAUGUUUGUUGUUUCCCAGCGGUAGAGUUUUGGUGACCUGUUUGGAACGGUGUGGAACAUUCUUUUCAGCGGACGUCUCCCUUGUUGUAACGGGCCGAGCAGACCAGGCCGUUCUGGAA